RNAcentral lists this long non-coding RNA (620 nucleotides) under Callithrix jacchus (white-tufted-ear marmoset). RNAcentral's name for it is "lncRNA (ENSCJAG00000073732.1)". The record is from RNAcentral. Lineage: Eukaryota; Metazoa; Chordata; Mammalia; Primates; Cebidae.
UUUCCAUGAGUAGUCAGUUGUAGUAUUUCAGGAUUUUAUGAGAUAAUUUGUUUACUUUAAGUAGAAAUUUCUCAUGAUUUUAGAAACUUGGAUCUACAUCCAAUAUGCCUGUAUUUCUGGCCAGUGAAUAUACAUAUUUCUGACCAAUUAAUGUAUUAUAUAAUCACCAAGCUGCUACUGGGAUCUGGAUCUUUCCAGGUUAUUAUUAUUUUUUGAUCUAUGUUACAUCUACCAGAUAUUAUUUCUCCAAUUGCAGAAGCAGAAAUACCAGAGAAACCCCAAGUGCAGGCACAGUGUUAAUUUGAACAUGUUUUGUCAUUUAUUUCAUCAUCAAUGCGUUUCAUAAUGAGACUCAACAAUUGUUUGUGUUUGACAUCGCAGAUGAAAUUGAAAUUUGAAGUCUAGAAGGUUUCAAAUACUUUAAUUCACGUAUAAGGAUGCUGAAGCCCAGGAAAGUGAAGUCAACAUCUUUCAGCAUCCCAGGGAAUCUAAAGUGUCAUUUCCUCUCUGGAAGAAAGGAAGCACAAAACAUGCUGGGCUUGCAUAUUUGGAUUACUCCCAUUCCGUCUCAAGGUUGGAGCUUGGGGAUGGAGCUUCAGGGAUCCCAGGCUGAAUUCACC